CCCGAGCUCCAGACCCUUCUUCCCAGCGCGGCGCGACGGCCCCAAGUGGAUGGGCUGUCUCUGGUGAACACGUCCAACUCCAGAGGCUGUGACUCUGGGGACCUUCGUGACCCCAAGACAGGGUCACACACCCGUGGCAUUUGGUCGCCAAAUUCCAGACAAGGACCCCCAUUCAACCGACUGGCUCCAAGCUGAGCCUUGGAGAGGUGGCUGGGGACAGGAGGAAAAGACGGAGCCCCCCCACGCAUUGCCAGGAUUUCUCUUUCCGUAUCCCAGCCUCCCUGCUCCCUGGGGCACACAGGUGGAUGGCGGAGGCAGCCAGUGAAGGCACCAACCGAGGGGCAGGUGAGGUCACUGGGGGCGGGGGAUGCGGGGGAGCAAGAAGGAGAAGCAGCUUUGCCUGAGGGGCCACAGCUGGGAGGACAGCCGGGAAGCCUUCUGGGCUGAGGCUUGUGAGAUGGCUGGAAGUUAGCCAGGAGGACAAGCGCUUCCAGGCAGAAGGAACAGCAUCUGCAAAGGCUCAGCGCACGGCGCAACCUGGUGGGACUGGAGUCCCGCUGGUUCUUGAAACCCAGGGGCAUGAACACUAUCCUCUAGGCAUUGGAGAUGCAAAUGGCCUUAAGCAAAGGAGUGAGCCGGUACACGCUACAGAAGGACGCACGUAGCGUGGUCCUCUUAGACGAGGGGCUGUCAUUUAGGGCAGGUGCAGAGGGACCCAGCUAAGCCGAGGGGACAGAGAACAGUGACAGAGCAGGUGACGAAGUGUCCCUGCUGUGGCACGUGUUCCA
Molecule: long non-coding RNA, 788 nt
Filed under: Sus scrofa (pig)
Lineage: Eukaryota; Metazoa; Chordata; Mammalia; Artiodactyla; Suidae
Description: lncRNA (ENSSSCG00050068446.1)
Source: RNAcentral